Molecule: small RNA, 81 nt
Filed under: Sinorhizobium meliloti 2011
Lineage: Bacteria; Pseudomonadati; Pseudomonadota; Alphaproteobacteria; Hyphomicrobiales; Rhizobiaceae
Description: putative ncRNA
Source: RNAcentral
CCUGGUCGAACAUUUGUAGGGUACCAAUGACGCCCAUCGUCACGACGGCAAAGGUCACCGGCCUGAGCGCCGGCACGGUUA